GUGGGGAAUCUUCCGCAAUGGACGAAAGUCUGACGGAGCAACGCCGCGUGAGUGAUGAAGGUCUUCGGAUUGUAAAACUCUGUUGUCAGGGACGAAUGUGCGAACGUUGAAUAAGCGUGUGUAUUGACGGUACCUGACGAGGAAGCCACGGCUAACUACGUGCCAGCAGCCGCGGUAAUACGUAGGUGGCAAGCGUUGUCCGGAAUUAUUGGGCGUAAAGAGCAUGUAGGCGGGCUUUUAAGUCCGACGUGAAAAUGCGGGGCUUAACCCCGUAUGGCGUUGGAUACUGGAAGUCUUGAGUGCAGGAGAGGAAAGGGGAAUUCCCAGUGUAGCGGUGUAAUGCGUAGAUAUUGGGAGGAACACCAGUGGCGAAGGCGCCUUUCUGGACUGUGUCUGACGCUGAGAUGCGAAAGCCAGGGUAGCAAACGGGAUUAGAUACCCGUGUAGUCC
Molecule: ribosomal RNA, 450 nt
Filed under: uncultured bacterium
Lineage: Bacteria
Description: partial 16S ribosomal RNA
Rfam family: Bacterial small subunit ribosomal RNA
Source: RNAcentral